GACGAACGCUGGCGGCGUGCCUAACACAUGCAAGUCGUGCGAGAAAGUUCCUUCGGGAGCGAGUAAAGCGGCGCACGGGUGAGUAACACGUAGGUAACCUGCCCCCCAGUCUGGAACAACUAGAGGAAACUCUAGCUAAUGCCGGAUGAGACCACGAUCCCUUCGGGGGUUGCGGCCAAAGAUGGCCUCUACUUGUAAGCUAUCGCUGAGGGAUGGGCCUGCGGGCCAUUAGCUUGUUGGUGAGGUAACGGCUCACCAAGGCUGUGAUGGCUAGCUGGUCUGAGAGGAUGACCAGCCACACUGGGACUGAGACACGGCCCAGACUCCUACGGGAGGCAGCAGUGGGAAUAUUGCGCAAUGGGCGAAAGCCUGACGCAGCGACGCCGCGUGGGUGAUGAAGGCCUU
RNAcentral lists this ribosomal RNA (405 nucleotides) under uncultured bacterium. RNAcentral describes it as "bacterial SSU rRNA". It matches the Rfam family "Bacterial small subunit ribosomal RNA", at positions 28 to 418 of the family's 1533-position model. The record is from RNAcentral.